Molecule: ribosomal RNA, 292 nt
Filed under: uncultured Bacteroidota bacterium
Lineage: Bacteria; Pseudomonadati; Bacteroidota
Description: uncultured Bacteroidetes bacterium partial 16S ribosomal RNA
Source: RNAcentral
GGACUACCGGGGUAUCUAAUCCUGUUUGAUACCCACGCUUUCGUGCUUCAGCGUCAGUUGUACCUUAGUAAGCUGCCUUCGCAAUCGGAGUUCUGCGUGAUAUCUAUGCAUUCCACCGCUACACCACGCAUUCCGCCUACCUCAUCUACACUCAAGCCCGCCAGUAACAAUGGCAAUUUAGGAGUUAAGCUCCUAGAUUUCACCGCUGACUUAACAGGCCGCCUACGCACCCUUUAAACCCAAUAAAUCCGGAUAACGCUCGCAUCCUCCGUAUUACCGCGGCUGCUGGCAC